This 430-nucleotide ribosomal RNA is filed under the name uncultured Bifidobacterium sp. Its description in RNAcentral is "bacterial SSU rRNA". It matches the Rfam family "Bacterial small subunit ribosomal RNA", at positions 227 to 669 of the family's 1533-position model. The record is from RNAcentral. Lineage: Bacteria; Bacillati; Actinomycetota; Actinomycetes; Bifidobacteriales; Bifidobacteriaceae.
GGGGUCGCGUCCUAUCAGCUUGUUGGCGGGGUGAUGGCCUGCCAAGGCUUCGACGGGUAGCCGGCCUGAGAGGGCGACCGGCCACAUUGGGACUGAGAUACGGCCCAGACUCCUACGGGAGGCAGCAGUGGGGAAUAUUGCACAAUGGGCGCAAGCCUGAUGCAGCGACGCCGCGUGCGGGAUGACGGCCUUCGGGUUGUAAACCGCUUUUGAUUGGGAGCAAGCGAGAGUGAGUGUACCUUUCGAAUAAGCACCGGCUAACUACGUGCCAGCAGCCGCGGUAAUACGUAGGGUGCAAGCGUUAUCCGGAUUUAUUGGGCGUAAAGAGCUCGUAGGCGGUUCGUCGCGUCUGGUGUGAAAGUCCAUCGCUUAACGGUGGAUCGGCGCCGGGUACGGGCGGACUGGAGUGCGGUAGGGGAGACUGGAAUUC